UGGGGAAUAUUGCACAAUGGGCGCAAGCCUGAUGCAGCCAUGCCGCGUGUAUGAAGAAGGCCUUCGGGUUGUAAAGUACUUUCAGCGGGGAGGAAGGGAGUAAAGUUAAUACCUUUGCUCAUUGACGUUACCCGCAGAAGAAGCACCGGCUAACUCCGUGCCAGCAGCCGCGGUAAUACGGAGGGUGCAAGCGUUAAUCGGAAUUACUGGGCGUAAAGCGCACGCAGGCGGUUUGUUAAGUCAGAUGUGAAAUCCCCGGGCUCAACCUGGGAACUGCAUCUGAUACUGGCAAGCUUGAGUCUCGUAGAGGGGGGUAGAAUUCCAGGUGUAGCGGUGAAAUGCGUAGAGAUCUGGAGGAAUACCGGUGGCGAAGGCGGCCCCCUGGACGAAGACUGAUGCUCAGGUGCGAAAGCGUGGGGAGCAAACAGG
This 429-nucleotide ribosomal RNA is filed under the name Chloroflexota bacterium. Its description in RNAcentral is "Chloroflexi bacterium partial 16S ribosomal RNA". It matches the Rfam family "Bacterial small subunit ribosomal RNA", at positions 355 to 776 of the family's 1533-position model. Lineage: Bacteria; Bacillati; Chloroflexota. The record is from RNAcentral.